GUUAGUAACACGUGGAUAACCUACCUAUAAGACUGGGAUAACUUCGGGAAACCGGAGCUAAUACCGGAUAAUAUUUUGAACCGCAUGGUUCAAAAGUGAAAGACGGUCUUGCUGUCACUUAUAGAUGGAUCCGCGCUGCAUUAGCUAGUUGGUAAGGUAACGGCUUACCAAGGCAACGAUGCAUAGCCGACCUGAGAGGGUGAUCGGCCACACUGGAACUGAGACACGGUCCAG
RNAcentral lists this ribosomal RNA (234 nucleotides) under uncultured Staphylococcus sp. Its description in RNAcentral is "partial 16S ribosomal RNA". It matches the Rfam family "Bacterial small subunit ribosomal RNA", at positions 106 to 334 of the family's 1533-position model. Lineage: Bacteria; Bacillati; Bacillota; Bacilli; Caryophanales; Staphylococcaceae. The record is from RNAcentral.